RNAcentral lists this ribosomal RNA (422 nucleotides) under uncultured bacterium. Its description in RNAcentral is "bacterial SSU rRNA". It matches the Rfam family "Bacterial small subunit ribosomal RNA", at positions 362 to 776 of the family's 1533-position model. The record is from RNAcentral.
UAUUGGACAAUGGGGGCAACCCUGAUCCAGCCAUGCCGCGUGUGUGAAGAAGGCCUUCGGGUUGUAAAGCACUUUCAGUGGGGAGGAAGGCCUGUUGGCUAAUACCCAUCAGGAUUGACGUUACCCACAGAAGAAGCACCGGCAAACUCCGUGCCAGCAGCCACGGUAAUACGGAGGGUGCGAGCGUUAAUCGGAAUUACUGGGCGUAAAGCGCACGUAGGCGGCCUGUUAAGCUGGAUGUGAAAGCCCCGGGCUCAACCUGGGAAUGGCUUCCAGAACUGGCAGGCUAGAGUACGGUAGAGGUGAGUGGAAUUUCCUGUGUAGCGGUGAAAUGCGUAGAUAUAGGAAGGAACACCAGUGGCGAAGGCGGCUCACUGGACUGGUACUGACGCUGAGGUGCGAAAGCGUGGGGAGCAAACAGG